GCCAGACUCCUACGGGAGGCAGCAGUGGGGGAUAUUGCACAAUGGGGGGAACCCUGAUGCAGCGACGCCGCGUGGGUGAAGAAGCGCCUCGGCGCGUAAAGCCCUGUCAGCAGGGAAGAAAAUGACGGUACCUGACUAAGAAGCACCGGCUAAAUACGUGCCAGCAGCCGCGGUAAUACGUAUGGUGCAAGCGUUAUCCGGAUUUACUGGGUGUAAAGGGAGCGCAGGCGGCGCGUUAAGCCUGGUGUGAAAGCCCGCGGCCCAACCGCGGGACUGCAUUGGGAACUGGCGCGCUGGAGUGCCGGAGGGGUAGGCGGAAUUCCUAGUGUAGCGGUGAAAUGCGUAGAUAUUAGGAGGAACACCAGUGGCGAAGGCGGCCUACUGGACGGUGACUGACGCUGAGGCUCGAAAGCGUGGGGAGCAAACAGGAUUAGAUACCCCGGUAU
Molecule: ribosomal RNA, 446 nt
Filed under: uncultured bacterium
Lineage: Bacteria
Description: bacterial SSU rRNA
Rfam family: Bacterial small subunit ribosomal RNA
Source: RNAcentral